AGGAAUGAUUUUAAAUCAAUUCCCAUCAACUUGUACCUUGUAGCUACUCCCCAAUUGAAUUAAAAAAUAAGUAAUAGGAUGUACUUGAAGCUGGAAAUGUGGCAUCGAUUUGUGUGUCUAGGAAUUAAGACUCGCCUUGAUAACUGGUUUCACUAUAAAAGGAGUGACUGUAUCCAUUACCCACAAAUUUAAUCAUACCAUCAUUUGAGCUAAAUUAAUUCAGAAAUGGGGUUGCCAGACUUCCAUCAACUUGCAGGGAUGUGUGACUGAACAAAGAUUUUAGAUAUGUGGUAGACAACAAAGCUUGAACAAGUGAUUUAUUGAAUUUUUUUGGGUCCUUAUUUGGAGGCUUGGGAAGUGAGCCUUCAAAAUGAUGUGUAAUGAAAUAUCUCUCAAGAUAAUUAAGCAUAUGUGGACUUAUUAAGCCUUGCCCAUGUCUUGGGCCUGUAAAUGGAGAUGGCUCUGCUUUAUCUUGCCCAAAACCCCAUGUCAUCUUCUUUCUUAGGAUGCUGAUAGAGUGAGAGUACUGCGUAUAUGGCUUCAAUGUGAAAGGUUCACCCCUUUCUUUACCCGCUUUUAUUCUCGGAAGCCAUUGAAAUAGUAUCCAUGAUAGCGAAAAUUCAAAAUCUCCAUCAUCGAUGCUACCCACGACACCUUGUUACUGUAUGCUUGAAAUCAAAACUCGCAAUCCAUUUGUAUUACUAUGGAUACGAAAUCGCUGCCAUACUUGGUCACCAAUCCUAUAUGAUGAAUGUCGCCCAAAUGUGCAGAAGCAGUUUCAACCAGUUUCCUGCCGUAAGUCUGCAAUAACUCAAACGUGAACUAGUCCCAAGUAAGAAGAGGUUAUCAUCGACAAAGCUCGCGAAACCAAUCAAGGAAAGGUCCUACUUAUAAAAUUCUCUGAAUACCCUAUUAGAAAUGGUAUGCCUACUUAUGUAGCAUUAGCACUACCAUUAUUCCCAUGUGAGUCAGCACCUGAGAAUAUCUCCAACGAACUGAUGUGCUCUCCUAUGUUGUCUUUAUUUU
RNAcentral lists this unclassified non-coding RNA (1026 nucleotides) under Hevea brasiliensis (rubber tree). The record is from RNAcentral. Lineage: Eukaryota; Viridiplantae; Streptophyta; Magnoliopsida; Malpighiales; Euphorbiaceae.